AUACAAAUAUUAACAAAAUGACUAAUUUAUCCACCCGAAAGGAUAUCUAUUUGGUGGCUAGUAGAAGCCAGCAAUUUUCAAGAAGAUAAUUCAAAACGGCCAAAAAAAAAAAAAAAAAAGCCAUCUUCACUUGAGAACUGCUAUGGCAAUAACAGCAAAUUUCAAUGGAGUAUUUGAGGCUCUGCCUAACAUCCCCAAGCUACACCAGAUGCGAAGAAAUCAACAAUUACAUGCUUUCUUAGCAAGAAAAAGAUGAAUUCGAAGACAACAAAGUGCAUACUACAAGAAGAUUGGCAAUAGGCCUUGUUUCAAUAGCACUCUUUGGAAAUACAAGCAUUGGAAAUUCUCUUGCAGAGGACAAUGGAUUUUGGCUCACAGUUGUACCCUCUGUUAACAACAAGACGGGAACUAGUUCCUUUCUCAAGAAAGGAAUCUAUAUAGCUAAUAUUGGAACUAAAGGGAGAAUGCACAGAUUGAAACGAUAUGCUUUCGAUCUCAUAGCAAUGGGAGAUAUGCCCCUUAAGUCGACAUUUAUGUACUAUGAUUUCGAUGAAGUGAUCUCUGCAGCAAAAGUAGAUGAUAAGAAAUCUCUUAAAGAACUUGCCAACCGGUUGUUCAACAACGUUGAAAAGGUAAUCUAAUCAUAACUUAUUGUUCAAUUUCCUCCCACAUAAUUUAUUUUAGAGUAAUGUUAUUUAAAACCAAUUAUAUUAAAUACCAAUUUAGAUGUCAACAUGUCAUAAAUCCUAAUAAAUAAAUCUUAAAUCCUUACAUUUAAUUGAACCUAUAAUUUGAUAGGUGUUGCUAUAACAACAAGGGGGCUGACUGCCCCCUGACCAAACCCCACAAAUGGGGAGGUCCCCUUUUUUUGCAGGCCCCGCCUGUGGGGUUCUUGUCAAGACCAGCUCCUUGUUAUAGGAGCAAAAUCCAUAAUUUGAUAACACAAGUAUUGUCACCUAAAUUGAUGUUAAAUACCGUUGUUAGCUUGAAAAUGCAAUGUAAAAACAGAAUCUUCCUCGGAGUCAUAUUAUGUAGAUACAUCAGUUCUCAUGAAUUGGCGUAAAAUUGUAACCCAAAAGAAUUUAUGAAUUGUAAAAACUUCGAUUGUC
Long non-coding RNA from Olea europaea var. sylvestris, 1109 nucleotides. RefSeq lists it as uncharacterized. NCBI's taxonomy places the organism in Eukaryota, Viridiplantae, Streptophyta, Magnoliopsida, Lamiales, Oleaceae. The transcript is spliced from 2 exons. The record is from RefSeq and is a predicted model, not a curated record.